Molecule: ribosomal RNA, 465 nt
Filed under: Vreelandella stevensii
Lineage: Bacteria; Pseudomonadati; Pseudomonadota; Gammaproteobacteria; Oceanospirillales; Halomonadaceae
Description: partial 16S ribosomal RNA
Rfam family: Bacterial small subunit ribosomal RNA
Source: RNAcentral
CCUACGGGGGGCAGCAGUGGGGAAUAUUGGACAAUGGGCGAAAGCCUGAUCCAGCCAUGCCGCGUGUGUGAAGAAGGCCUUCGGGUUGUAAAGCACUUUCAGUGGGGAAGAAAGCCUUGGGGCUAAUACCCUCGAGGAAGGACAUCACCCACAGAAGAAGCACCGGCUAACUCCGUGCCAGCAGCCGCGGUAAUACGGAGGGUGCGAGCGUUAAUCGGAAUUACUGGGCGUAAAGCGCGCGUAGGCGGUCUGAUAAGCAGGUUGUGAAAGCCCCGGGCUCAACCUGGGAACGGCAUCCGGAACUGUCAGGCUAGAGUGCAGGAGAGGAAGGUAGAAUUCCCGGUGUAGCGGUGAAAUGCGUAGAGAUCGGGAGGAAUACCAGUGGCGAAGGCGGCCUUCUGGACUGACACUGACGCUGAGGUGCGAAAGCGUGGGUAGCAAACAGGAUUAGAUACCCUGGUAGUC